This 478-nucleotide ribosomal RNA is filed under the name uncultured bacterium. Its description in RNAcentral is "bacterial SSU rRNA". It matches the Rfam family "Bacterial small subunit ribosomal RNA", at positions 60 to 523 of the family's 1533-position model. The record is from RNAcentral.
AGUCGAACGGAGGACCCCUUGGACUGAGGUUUCGGCCAAAAUGGAUAGGAACUGCUUAGUGGCGGACUGGUGAGUAACGCGUGAGGAAACCCUGCCUUCCAGAGGGGGACAACAGUUGGAAACGACUGCUAAUACCGCAUGAUAUAUUUGAGGGGCAUCCCUUUGGAUAUCAAAGAUUAUAUCGCUGGGAAGAUGGCCUCGCGUCUGAUUAGCUAGUAGGCGGGGUAACGGCCCACCUAGGCGACGAUCAGUAGCCGGACUGAGAGGUUGACCGGCCACAUUGGGACUGAGAUACGGCCCCAGACUCCUACGGGAGGCAGCAGUGGGGAAUAUUGGGCAAAUGGGCGCAAGCCUGACCCCAGCAACGCCGCGUGAAGGAAGAAGGCUUUCGGGUUGUAAACUUCUUUUGUCAGGGAACAGUAGAAGAGGGUACCUGACGAAUAAGCCACGGCUAACUACGUGCCAGCAGCCGCGGUAA